RNAcentral lists this transfer RNA (85 nucleotides) under Felis catus (domestic cat). It matches the Rfam family "tRNA". Rfam says of the family: Transfer RNA (tRNA) molecules are approximately 80 nucleotides in length. Their secondary structure includes four short double-helical elements and three loops (D, anti-codon, and T loops). Lineage: Eukaryota; Metazoa; Chordata; Mammalia; Carnivora; Felidae. The record is from Rfam by way of RNAcentral.
GCCUGUAUGGCUCAGUCGGUUAAGCGUCUGACUUUGGCUCAGGUCAUGAUCUCCCAGUCCGUGGGUUCCAGCCCCGCGUCGGGCU